This 253-nucleotide ribosomal RNA is filed under the name uncultured bacterium. RNAcentral describes it as "partial 16S ribosomal RNA". It matches the Rfam family "Bacterial small subunit ribosomal RNA", at positions 524 to 776 of the family's 1533-position model. The record is from RNAcentral.
UACGUAGGGACCGAGCGUUGUCCGGAUUCAUUGGGCGUAAAGAGCUCGUAGGCGGCUCGGUGCGUCGGCUGUGAAAACCCGCAGCUCAACUGUGGGCUUGCAGCUGAUACGGGCGGGCUGGAGUUCGGUAGGGGAGACUGGAAUUCCUGGUGUAGCGGUGAAAUGCGCAGAUAUCAGGAGGAACACCGGUGGCGAAGGCGGGUCUCUGGGCCGAUACUGACGCUGAGGAGCGAAAGCGUGGGGAGCGAACAGG